GACAAGACAAAGGGGAGCCGGAGGCAGUCCGGCUGAGAGUAGGACCGUGUGUGUCCUUUACCCUGAAACCUGAUCCGGAUCAUGCCGGCGUAGGGACCAUAUCUGAGAGAUGGAG
This 115-nucleotide non-coding RNA is filed under the name Ruminococcus sp. RNAcentral's name for it is "TPP sequence". It matches the Rfam family "TPP riboswitch aptamer (THI element)". Rfam says of the family: Vitamin B(1) in its active form thiamin pyrophosphate (TPP) is an essential coenzyme that is synthesised by coupling of pyrimidine and thiazole moieties in bacteria. The previously detected thiamin-regulatory element, thi box was extended, resulting in a new, highly conserved RNA secondary structure, the THI element, which is widely distributed in eubacteria and also occurs in some archaea. The record is from RNAcentral. Lineage: Bacteria; Bacillati; Bacillota; Clostridia; Eubacteriales; Oscillospiraceae.